Molecule: ribosomal RNA, 468 nt
Filed under: uncultured bacterium
Lineage: Bacteria
Description: partial 16S ribosomal RNA
Rfam family: Bacterial small subunit ribosomal RNA
Source: RNAcentral
GACGAACGCUGGCGGCGUGCUUAACACAUGCAAGUCGAACGGAAAGGCCCUGCUUUUGUGGGGUGCUCGAGUGUCGAACGGGUGAGUAACACGUGAGUAACCUGCCCUUGACUUUGGGAUAACUUCAGGAAACUGUGGCUAAUACCGGAUAGGAGCUCCUGCUGCAUGGUGGGGGUUGGAAAGUUUCGGCGGUUGGGGAUGGACUCGCGGCUUAUCAGCUUGUUGGUGGGGUAGUGGCUUACCAAGGCCUUGACGGGUAGCCGGCCUGAGAGGGUGACCGGCAACAUUGGGACUGAGAUACGGCCCAGACUCCUACGGGAGGCAGCAGUGGGGAAUAUUGCACAAUGGGCGGAAGCCUGAUGAAGCAACGCCGCGUGCGGGAUGACGGCCUUCGGGUUGUAAACCGCUUUCGCCUGUGAAGAAGAGUGAGUGACGGUAAUGGGUAAAGAAGCACCGGCUAACUACGUG